GUGUCAGCCGCCGCGGUAAUACGAGAGGCCCAAACGUUAUUCGGAAUUACUGGGCGUAAAGCGUGAGUAGGCGGUCACCGAAGUCGGGUGUGAAAGCCCAGGGCUCAACCCUGGAAGUGCACACGAUACUGGGUGGCUUGAGUUCUGAAGAGGAGAGCGGAAUUCCCGGUGUAGAGGUGAAAUUCGUAGAUAUCGGGAGGAACACCAGUGGCGAAGGCGGCUCUCUGGGCAGCAACUGACGCUGAGACACGAAAGCAUGGGGAGCAAACAGGAUUAGAUACCCUGGUAGUCC
Molecule: ribosomal RNA, 292 nt
Filed under: uncultured bacterium
Lineage: Bacteria
Description: partial 16S ribosomal RNA
Rfam family: Bacterial small subunit ribosomal RNA
Source: RNAcentral